UCGGUGGAUCUUAGAAAAUUAU
Molecule: non-coding RNA, 22 nt
Filed under: Arabidopsis thaliana (thale cress)
Lineage: Eukaryota; Viridiplantae; Streptophyta; Magnoliopsida; Brassicales; Brassicaceae
Source: RNAcentral